Molecule: transfer-messenger RNA, 356 nt
Filed under: Synergistaceae bacterium
Lineage: Bacteria; Thermotogati; Synergistota; Synergistia; Synergistales; Synergistaceae
Rfam family: transfer-messenger RNA
About the family: Bacterial tmRNA, also known as 10Sa RNA or SsrA, is named for its dual tRNA and mRNA-like properties.
Source: RNAcentral
GGGGGCGACAGGUUUCGACGGCGUGUUGGAGGGUCUGGAGGAGCAGGUCGAGUUAUGUCCGUAAUCCUCGUUAAACAUUCGGGCAAGACGAUAAACGUCGACAAUAAUUACGCUUUGGCGGCUUAGGCCGUCACGUCGAGGGACGCGGCUAGUCUACUGGCCCGCCUGAGGCGUCACUUUAGGUAGAUGCUCCGCUCGUCGUCCGGCCUUGCGCGAGUGGAAAAGACAAAAGACCUUGGAAUGUGGAAGGUCGUUUUCAACCUAACCGCGGACGACAAUCAAUUGAAAACUAAACCUGUAGCGCUGCCACGGCUGGCCCACGUCGGACGGGGGUUCGAUUCCCCCCGCCUCCAUUA